Molecule: long non-coding RNA, 247 nt
Filed under: Actinidia chinensis (golden kiwifruit)
Lineage: Eukaryota; Viridiplantae; Streptophyta; Magnoliopsida; Ericales; Actinidiaceae
Description: long non-coding RNA (ACHI_LNC009409)
Source: RNAcentral
GAAUUAUACGGUGUGGCUAGUCCACCUAAUCUUUAUAAGCUUGAUUUGUCGAUUCGGUUCGGUUCCGGUUUCGGUUCGGUUUGGUUCCGGUUCCGAAAACAGCUAAUCCGAGAACCGAACCGAUCUAAUCGGUUCAACAAUUUUUAGGACCAGGACCGAACCAAAGAGCUACCAGAACCGAACCAACCCAAUCCAAUGAGGCCGGAUUGGUUCGGUUCUCGGAUUUUUCGGUUCAUUUGUGCACCCC